Small nuclear RNA from Myodes glareolus (Bank vole), 111 nucleotides. The record is from RefSeq and is a predicted model, not a curated record. NCBI's taxonomy places the organism in Eukaryota, Metazoa, Chordata, Mammalia, Rodentia, Cricetidae.
GUGCUCGCUUCGGCAGCACAUAUACUGAAAAUUGGAACGAUACAGAGAAGAUUAGCAUGGCCCCUGCGCAAGGAUGACACGCAAAUUAUUCGUGAAGCGUUCAAAAAAAAA